This 431-nucleotide ribosomal RNA is filed under the name uncultured bacterium. RNAcentral describes it as "partial 16S ribosomal RNA". It matches the Rfam family "Bacterial small subunit ribosomal RNA", at positions 29 to 507 of the family's 1533-position model. The record is from RNAcentral.
AACGAACGCUGGCGGCAGGCUUAACACAUGCAAGUCGAACGCCCCGCAAGGGGAGUGGCCGACGGGUGAGUACCGCGUGGGAACAUACCCUUUUCUACGGAAUAGCUCUGGGAAACUGGAAUUAAUACCGUAUACGCCCUACGGGGGAAAGAUUUAUCGGGGAAGGAUUGGCCCGCGUUGGAUUAGCUAGUUGGUGGGGUAAAGGCCUACCAAGGCGACGAUCCAUAGCUGGUCUGAGAGGAUGAUCAGCCACAUUGGGACUGAGACACGGCCCAAACUCCUACGGGAGGCAGCAGUGGGGAAUAUUGGACAAUGGGCGCAAGCCUGAUCCAGCCAUGCCGCGUGAGUGAUGAAGGCCUUAGGGUUGUAAAGCUCUUUCACCGAUGAAGAUAAUGACGGUAGUCGGAGAAGAAGCCCCGGCUAACUUCGUG